Long non-coding RNA from Scophthalmus maximus (turbot), 400 nucleotides. RefSeq lists it as uncharacterized. Lineage: Eukaryota; Metazoa; Chordata; Actinopteri; Pleuronectiformes; Scophthalmidae. The record is from RefSeq and is a predicted model, not a curated record. The transcript is spliced from 3 exons.
GUUGGAGCGUCAACGACAGCACCGUCUUCCUCCAGGCCGACAAGAAGCUGGAACGUCUCUGUGAAUGGAAGGAGUUGAUCCAGAGAGAUGAGAAGUGCCACGGAGCUUUACUGGACAUUAUAUAUAUCUGUAUAUAAAUAUCUGCACUUCAGUCUGAGCUGUCCGUCCCUCAGUGGACGACUUCCACCAGACCCGACCGACAUGAAGGACACCUGCAGGUCAACGAAUAUUCAGACGGCUGAGCAACAAACACACCAGAAGAUGGAGCCUGUACGCCCUGAAAUCUGAAUCACAAAGACAGAGUGUGAAGAGCAGACUCACAAGUAGAACAGAGGACCCUUCGUCUGGACGACCCCUGAAGGCUUGAUGUCGUGCCCCCCGUCCCCUGUUAAUUUGUACA